Molecule: transfer RNA, 69 nt
Filed under: Marmota marmota marmota (Alpine marmot)
Lineage: Eukaryota; Metazoa; Chordata; Mammalia; Rodentia; Sciuridae
Also listed under: 3 other names
Rfam family: tRNA
About the family: Transfer RNA (tRNA) molecules are approximately 80 nucleotides in length. Their secondary structure includes four short double-helical elements and three loops (D, anti-codon, and T loops).
Source: Rfam by way of RNAcentral
GGGGAUAUAGCUCAUUUGGUAGAGUGUUUGCCUUGCAUGUACAAGAACCUGGGUUCAAUCCCAGCACCA